This 468-nucleotide ribosomal RNA is filed under the name uncultured bacterium. RNAcentral's name for it is "partial 16S ribosomal RNA". It matches the Rfam family "Bacterial small subunit ribosomal RNA", at positions 28 to 507 of the family's 1533-position model. The record is from RNAcentral.
GACGAACGCUGGCGGCGUGCUUAACACAUGCAAGUCGAACGGAAAGGCCCUGCUUUUGUGGGGUGCUCGAGUGGCGAACGGGUGAGUAACACGUGAGUAACCUGCCCUUGACUUUGGGAUAACUUCAGGAAACUGGGGCUAAUACCGGAUAGGAGCUCCUGCUGCAUGGUGGGGGUUGGAAAGUUUCGGCGGUUGGGGAUGGACUCGCGGCUUAUCAGCUUGUUGGUGGGGUAGUGGCUUACCAAGGCUUUGACGGGUAGCCGGCCUGAGAGGGUGACCGGCCACAGUGGGACUGAGAUCCGGCCCAGCCCCCUCCGGGAGGCAGCAGGGGGGAAUAUUGCCCAAUGGGCGGAAGCCUGAGGCAGCACCGCCGCGUGCGGGAUGCCGGCCUUCGGUUUGUAACCCGUUUUCGCCUGUGACGAAGCGUGAGUGACGGUAGUGGGUAAAGAAGCCCCGGCUAACUACGUG